This 301-nucleotide ribosomal RNA is filed under the name uncultured bacterium. RNAcentral's name for it is "partial 16S ribosomal RNA". It matches the Rfam family "Bacterial small subunit ribosomal RNA", at positions 509 to 807 of the family's 1533-position model. The record is from RNAcentral.
CAGUCGCCGCGGUAAUACGUAGAUGGCAAGCGUUGUCCGGAAUUAUUGGGCGUAAAGGGCUCGCAGGCGGUUUCUUAAGUCUGAUGUGAAAGCCCCCGGCUCAACCGGGGAGGGUCAUUGGAAACUGGGAAACUUGAGUGCAGAAGAGGAGAGUGGAAUUCCACGUGUAGCGGUGAAAUGCGUAGAGAUGUGGAGGAACACCAGUGGCGAAGGCGACUCUCUGGUCUGUAACUGACGCUGAGGCUCGAAAGCGUGGGUAGCGAACAGGAUUAGAUACCCCGGUAGUCCCUGUCUCUUAUAC